CGUGAUUUGGGCUAUAUUACGGACCCAAAAUUACUUGUUCAAGCAUUGUUUUCGAAUUUUUUCAUGCAUCAAAGCUCGUUAAGACUAGAUGGGGUAUCCCUACAUAGCGGGUGGGACCCACGGUGAAUGGUUCAUCAAGUCUUCAAAAAAGAAUAUAUACGAUUGCAUUGCAUAUACUAACGGAUGCGAUCAUACCAGCACUAAUGCACCGGAUCCCAUCAGAACUCCGCAGUUAAGCGUGCUUGGGCGAGAGUAGUACUAGGAUGGGUGACCUCCCGGGAAGUCCUCGUGUUGCAUCCCUAUUUUAUGUUUAACCUUUUUUUUUUUGGUUAAAACUUUAUGACUCCAUAACUUUUAGACCGUGAGGCCAAACUUGGCAUGUGAUACCUUUUCGGAAAGCCCAAAGACAGCCCUCCGACGAAAGAAGCAGGACAAUGGAAUUCUUCCAUUGACUUUUUGUCGACCCCAAUUUUGACCUUUAAUUACUUUNNCNGGAAUCAC
RNAcentral lists this ribosomal RNA (501 nucleotides) under Arabidopsis thaliana (thale cress). The record is from RNAcentral. Lineage: Eukaryota; Viridiplantae; Streptophyta; Magnoliopsida; Brassicales; Brassicaceae.